GACGAACGCUGGCGGCGUGCUUAACACAUGCAAGUCGAACGGAAAGGCCCUGCUUUUGUGGGGUGCUCGGGUGGCGAACGGGUGAGUAACACGUGAGUAACCUGCCCUUGACUUUGGGAUAACUUCAGGAAACUGGGGCUAAUACCGGAUAGGAGCUCCUGCUGCAUGGUGGGGGUUGGAAAGUUUCGGCGGUUGGGGAUGGACUCGCGGCUUAUCAGCUUGUUGGUGGGGUAGUGGCUUACCAAGGCUUUGACGGGUAGCCGGCCUGAGAGGGUGACCGGCCACAUUGGGACUGAGAUACGGCCCAGACGCCUACGGGAGGCAGCAGUGGGGAAUCUUGCACAAUGAGCGGAAGCCUGAUGCAGCGACGCCGCGUGCGGGAUGACGGCCUUCGGGUUGUAAACCGCUUUCGCCUGUGACGAAGCGUGAGUGACGGUAAUGGGUAAAGAAGCACCGGCUAACUACGUG
RNAcentral lists this ribosomal RNA (468 nucleotides) under uncultured bacterium. Its description in RNAcentral is "partial 16S ribosomal RNA". It matches the Rfam family "Bacterial small subunit ribosomal RNA", at positions 28 to 507 of the family's 1533-position model. The record is from RNAcentral.